AAAGGAAUUGACGGGGGCCCGCACAAGCGGAGGAACAUGUGGUUUAAUUCGAUGAUACGCGAGGAACCUUACCCGGGCUUGAAAUGCAUCCGACCGGCACGGAGACGUGCCUUCCCUUCGGGGCGGAUGCGUAGGUGCUGCAUGGUUGUCGUCAGCUCGUGCCGUGAGGUGUCGGCUUAAGUGCCAUAACGAGCGCAACCCCUAUCGCCAGUUGCUAGCAGGUCAUGCUGAGGACUCUGGCGAGACUGCCAUCGUAAGAUGCGAGGAAGGCGGGGAUGACGUCAAAUCAGCACGGCCCUUAUGUCCGGGGCGACACACGUGUUACAAUGGGCGGUACAAAGGGCGGCUACCGGGCGACCGGAUGCCAAUCCCCAAAACCGCUCUCAGUUCGGAUCGGAGUCUGCAACUCGACUCCGUGAAGCUGGAUUCGCUAGUAAUCGCGCAUCAGCCACGGCGCGGUGAAUACGUUCCCGGGCCUUGUACACACCGCCCGU
This 494-nucleotide ribosomal RNA is filed under the name uncultured bacterium. RNAcentral describes it as "bacterial SSU rRNA". It matches the Rfam family "Bacterial small subunit ribosomal RNA", at positions 903 to 1397 of the family's 1533-position model. The record is from RNAcentral.